AGAGUUUGAUCCUGGCUCAGGAUGAACGCUGGCGGUAUGCUUAACACAUGCAAGUCGAACGGAGUACUUCGGUACUUAGUGGCGGACGGGUGAGUAACGCGUGAGAAUCUGCCUUCAGGUUCGGGACAACCACUGGAAACGGUGGCUAAUACCGAAUGUGCAGCAAUGUGAAAAAUUUAUUGCCUGAAGAUGAGCUCGCGUCUGAUUAGCUAGUAGGUGUGGUAAGAGCGCACCUAGGCGACGAUCAGUAGCUGGUCUGAGAGGAUGAUCAGCCACACUGGGACUGAGACACGGCCCAGACUCCUACGGGAGGCAGCAGUGGGGAAUUUUCCGCAAUGGGCGAAAGCCUGACGGAGCAAUACCGCGUGAGGGAGGAAGGCUCUUGGGUUGUAAACCUCUUUUCUCAAGGAAGAAAAAAAUGACGGUACUUGAGGAAUAAGCAUCGGCUAACUCCGUGCCAGCAGCCGCGGUAAUACGGAGGAUGCAAGCGUUAUCCGGAAUGAUUGGGCGUAAAGCGUCCGCAGGUGGCUAUGUAAGUCUGCUGUUAAAGAGUCUGGCUCAACCAGAUAAAGGCAGUGGAAACUACAUGGCUAGAGUGCGUUCGGGGCAGAGGGAAUUCCUGGUGUAGCGGUGAAAUGCGUAGAGAUCAGGAAGAACACCGGUGGCGAAAGCGCUCUGCUAGGCCGCAACUGACACUGAGGGACGAAAGCUAGGGGAGCGAAUGGGAUUAGAUACCCCAGUAGUCC
RNAcentral lists this ribosomal RNA (746 nucleotides) under uncultured cyanobacterium. RNAcentral's name for it is "bacterial SSU rRNA". It matches the Rfam family "Bacterial small subunit ribosomal RNA", at positions 8 to 796 of the family's 1533-position model. Lineage: Bacteria; Bacillati; Cyanobacteriota. The record is from RNAcentral.